GAUCAUGGCUCAGGAUGAACGAUAGCUACAGGCUUAACGCAUGCAAGUCGAGGGGCAGCAUGAACUUAGCUUGCUAAGUUUGAUGGCGACCGGCGCACGGGUGAGUAACACGUAUCCAACCUGCCGAUGACUCGGGGAUAGCCUUUCGAAAGAAAGAUUAAUACCCGAUGGCAUAGUUCUUCCGCAUGGUAGAACUAUUAAAGAAUUUCGGUUAUCGAUGGGGAUGCGUUCCAUUAG
This 237-nucleotide ribosomal RNA is filed under the name uncultured bacterium. Its description in RNAcentral is "partial 16S ribosomal RNA". It matches the Rfam family "Bacterial small subunit ribosomal RNA", at positions 15 to 244 of the family's 1533-position model. The record is from RNAcentral.